GCCUAGGUGGCUCAGUGGUUGAGCAUCUGCCUUCCACUCAGGUCAUGAUCCCAGAGUCCUGGGAUCGAGUCCCACAUUAGGCU
This 83-nucleotide transfer RNA is filed under the name Canis lupus familiaris (dog). It matches the Rfam family "tRNA". Rfam says of the family: Transfer RNA (tRNA) molecules are approximately 80 nucleotides in length. Their secondary structure includes four short double-helical elements and three loops (D, anti-codon, and T loops). Further hydrogen bonds mediate the characteristic L-shaped molecular structure. tRNAs have two regions of fundamental functional importance: the anti-codon, which is responsible for specific mRNA codon recognition, and the 3' end, to which the tRNAs corresponding amino acid is attached (by aminoacyl-tRNA synthetases). tRNAs cope with the degeneracy of the genetic code in two manners: having more than one tRNA (with a specific anti-codon) for a particular amino acid; and 'wobble' base-pairing, i.e. permitting non-standard base-pairing at the 3rd anti-codon position. RNAcentral also lists the same sequence under 3 other names. Lineage: Eukaryota; Metazoa; Chordata; Mammalia; Carnivora; Canidae. The record is from Rfam by way of RNAcentral.